This 188-nucleotide unclassified non-coding RNA is filed under the name fungal sp. RNAcentral describes it as "partial internal transcribed spacer region". The stretch from base 1 to 46 matches the Rfam family "Eukaryotic small subunit ribosomal RNA", at positions 1786 to 1831 of the family's 1831-position model. Lineage: Eukaryota; Fungi. The record is from RNAcentral.
AAGUCGUAACAAGGUAUCCGUAGGUGAACCUGCAGAUGGAUCAUUAUCAAAUUUGGAUUCAAUUCUACUAAUGUGAACUGUCGACGCUUAAAUGCCCUUUGGGGCAUGCGUCCCCAAUUUUUAAUUACUAUUAAUCUCACUAGUUAUCCAACUAACUAUAACUUUUAGCAACGGAUCUCUAGGCUCUC